This 463-nucleotide long non-coding RNA is filed under the name Panax ginseng (ginseng). RNAcentral describes it as "long non-coding RNA (PGIN_LNC013026)". Lineage: Eukaryota; Viridiplantae; Streptophyta; Magnoliopsida; Apiales; Araliaceae. The record is from RNAcentral.
UUUAUGUUUUGUAAGAAAACUUCCAUGAUCUCUUGAUUUAUCAAACAUCAACCAACAUAAACCAACUUAAUACAUAUUAAAACAUCUUAUACUCAUGGAUUUACCAUGAUCCAUGAUCUAUUUUAUCAAACUCUUACCAUAAACAAACAAAACAUAAUCUAAACCAAGAAGAGUCAUGAGACCAUGGUUGAGAAAACUUUUCAACCUUUGCUAGGAAUGGUUGGAUGAUGGCUAUUCCUUUUUGGAUGAGCUUGAUAUCCCUCUUAUCUUUUCUCCUCCCUAACCAUGGCUUCCCCCCUUCCAUUCCCUCUCAAGCUCUCAAGUUUUUCUAAGAUUUUGGGUGAGAAUGAUAGGGAGAAGUCACUCCUCUUCUUCCACUUCUUUCUUUUUCUUCUCUUCUCUUAUUUCUUCCUCCCAUGGCAGCCCUCUUCUCUCUCUUCCUCUCUAUUUUGGUUGGAUGUGG